GAUGAACGCUAGCGGCAGGCUUAAUACAUGCAAGUUGAGGGGCAGCAUGAUAUACGCGAGUAUAUUGAUGGCGACCGGCGAACGGGUGAGUAAUAGGUAGGAGACCUACCUCAUACAGGGGGAUAGCAUAGAGAAAUCUGUGGUAAUACCCCAUGAGGUUAUAUGAAUAGAGGCAUAUAAUCAAAGCAUAAGCGAUUAUGCGGUAUGAGAGGGGCCUACUGACCAUUAGCUAGUUGGUGAGGUAAGGGCUCACCAAGGCGAAGAUGGUUAGGGGUUUUGAGAGAGAGACCCCCCACAUUGGAACUGAGAGACGGUCCAGACUCCUACGGGAGGCAGCAGUAGGGAAUAUUGGGCAAUGGGCGAAAGCCUGACCCAGCCAUGCCGCGUGAAGGAAGACGGCCUUAUGGGUUGUAAACUUCUUUACUACGCGAAUAGAGGUUAGUACGAGAUACUAAUAGGAAGGUAGUGUAGUAAAAAGCACCGGCUAACUCCGUGCC
RNAcentral lists this ribosomal RNA (497 nucleotides) under uncultured bacterium. RNAcentral describes it as "bacterial SSU rRNA". It matches the Rfam family "Bacterial small subunit ribosomal RNA", at positions 28 to 509 of the family's 1533-position model. The record is from RNAcentral.